RNAcentral lists this transfer RNA (145 nucleotides) under Anopheles merus. RNAcentral describes it as "tRNA tRNA-Tyr". It matches the Rfam family "tRNA". Rfam says of the family: Transfer RNA (tRNA) molecules are approximately 80 nucleotides in length. Their secondary structure includes four short double-helical elements and three loops (D, anti-codon, and T loops). Further hydrogen bonds mediate the characteristic L-shaped molecular structure. tRNAs have two regions of fundamental functional importance: the anti-codon, which is responsible for specific mRNA codon recognition, and the 3' end, to which the tRNAs corresponding amino acid is attached (by aminoacyl-tRNA synthetases). tRNAs cope with the degeneracy of the genetic code in two manners: having more than one tRNA (with a specific anti-codon) for a particular amino acid; and 'wobble' base-pairing, i.e. permitting non-standard base-pairing at the 3rd anti-codon position. Lineage: Eukaryota; Metazoa; Arthropoda; Insecta; Diptera; Culicidae. The record is from RNAcentral.
CCUUCGAUAGCUCAGUUGGUAGAGCGGUGGACUGUAGAAAGCUUAAGGAGAUGGUCAACUUAGAAAUGCAAGUUACAGUGCAUCUGAGGAUCACGUGCAUUCAAUAGAAAUCCAUAGGUCACUGGUUCAAAUCCGGUUCGAAGGA